GUGGCUAAUGGUUACCCUCUUGGACAGUGCAAUUACGGAACUUUCCCAAUAAUUCCAUAAAAAUGGAAAGUAGGUAUUUUUACAUGACAUGAAAAAGCUGAGAUGCAUCGAGGCCGAGAAGAAAUCUGAGGAGACAGGAUUUAAAAAGCACUUUCUUAAAUAAUGAGCAUUCUACUUCCUUUACAAGAUUUGCAUUAGGAACAAAAGAUUCCAAGAUCACCUUUCCAGGCUUCUGGACUACUUCCUUCUACUGCUAUCAGUACACAGACACAGAGUGUUAAUCUUGACAUUGAAACAGUAGUCUUUAGGCUUCACCAGACAACAUUAGCAACAUAAAAUAAGAAAACAUACACAAGGCAUCCCAAAGUGAGACAGUCCAUGGGUCUAAGAUUUUCUAAAUAUCAGUUCCUUAGAAGGCAGUGACGCUUCUCAUCUUUGGUAUCUGCACUGUUCAUGCUCUUGCUUCUUCAGAUCUACUGAACAGCCCCAUCUAUGACCACUCCUACUUCUUACCCACCUUACCUGUUUCAUUUAUCAUCUCUGAACUUACUAUCCAACAUUAAAACAAAAAAAUUAAGUACAGACUUGUUUUUCUGUGUUUUCUUCCCCCAUGAAGAUGGGAUAUUAGUGCCUAGCACAUGAUACACAUUCCAAAUCACAUAAUUUGCUAAUGAAACUUGAGGCUGUAAGCACAAUUCCCCUGGCC
Long non-coding RNA from Heterocephalus glaber (naked mole-rat), 706 nucleotides. The record is from Ensembl. NCBI's taxonomy places the organism in Eukaryota, Metazoa, Chordata, Mammalia, Rodentia, Bathyergidae.